AUGAACGCUGGCGGCGUGCUUAACACAUGCAAGUCGAACGGGAAACCUUUUAUUGAAGCUUCGGCAGAUUUAGCUGGUUUCUAGUGGCGGACGGGUGAGUAACGCGUGGGUAACCUGCCCUAUACAGAGGGAUAACAACCAGAAAUGGUUGCUAAUACCGCAUAAGCGCACAGGGCCGCAUGGUCCGGUGUGAACAACUCCGGUGGUAUAGGAUGGACCCGCGUUGGAUUAGCCAGUUGGCAAGGUAAUGGCCUACCAACGGGACGAUCCAUAGCCGCCCUGAGAGGGGGAAAGGCCACACCGGGAGUGAGAGACGGGAGAGACUAGGACGGGAGGCAGCAGUAGGGAAUCUUCCGCGAGGGGCGAAAGCCUGAAGGAGCAACGUCGAGUGAGUGAUGAAGGUCUUAGGAUCGUAGAACUCUGUUAUUAGGGAAGAACAUAUGUGUAAGUAACUGGGCACAUCUUGACGGUACCUAAUCAGAAAGCCACGGCUAACUACGUG
Molecule: ribosomal RNA, 502 nt
Filed under: uncultured bacterium
Lineage: Bacteria
Description: partial 16S ribosomal RNA
Rfam family: Bacterial small subunit ribosomal RNA
Source: RNAcentral